This 1620-nucleotide long non-coding RNA is filed under the name Heterocephalus glaber (naked mole-rat). Its description in RNAcentral is "lncRNA (ENSHGLG00100037346.1)". The record is from RNAcentral. Lineage: Eukaryota; Metazoa; Chordata; Mammalia; Rodentia; Bathyergidae.
GCCACAAUAACAAUAGCCUGAAUACUGGCACAGGUGUGUAAUGAAUGGUUUGAAGCUUCCUCUGUGGAGUGAGACUCACUCGUUCAACUGCUUCUUGAGCAAGAUGUCUGUGGUAGGUAGAAUAAUGCUUCUCCAGUAGUGUUCACAUCUUAAGCUCUGAAAUUUGUGAAUAUGUUACCUCAGUGGUCAAAAGGAACUUUGCAGAUAAGAUUAUGAUAAAGAUCUUGAGAUGAGGAGGUUAUCCUGAAUUAUCCAAGGGGAUCUUCAUAUAAUCACCUGGUCCUUAAAAUAGAAAGGGCAAAAGUGUCAGAGUCAUAGAAGAUAUGAUGACAGAAACAGAAGAUCAGAGUCAGAGGGAUAUGAAGAUCCUCUUUGAGACAGAGAAAGAGACCACAAGCCAAGAAAUGAAGGCACCCAAUGGAAACUGGAGAAAGGCAAGCAAAAGGAUGCUCCCCUAAAGCUACCAGAGUGGGAACAGCCCUGCCAACAUCUUGACCUUGGCUCAGUGAAAUCCGUGUUGAACUUCUCACUUCUGAGUUUCUGGGACCUCCCUUGGCUGGGGCCAGGGAGAGGAAGAAAUCAGGAAGGAUCAAGGCCAAGUACUUCAUGAAAUGGACAAGUGAAGAAAAAAUAAGUUGUCUACAUCUCAGCAUUUAAAGGGAUUCAGCAUCACAGGUGCAUCCAAUCCAUACAGGCAAGAAGCCUCUUCCAUCAGCCCUGCCAGCUGAGGAUAGAAGAAAGUGGACAAGCAUCCCUCAGAACCUUCUCAGUGUGUCACCCAAGCACAUAAGACCUGGGAUGUCCGUAACAAAGCUGUCCUCCCUCCAGUAGUUACAGCCAAGAUUCCUGUCCCUCAGCGCUUCUGGGCCUAGACACAUGUCCUCCAGAGAGCCUUACUUCUGGAGGAAAAACAUUUACCUGAUGUGGUUUGUGUGGGCUCCCUAGAGCUCCCAAUUAGCUGAGCAGGAAAGAGCUCUGAUAAUUUGUUGAGUUUACUGCAUUGCUUCUGGGAAAAAGGAACAUUUGCCCACAUUGAUUACCAGAUCCCAUUGUUGUUGCACUUGGGGUAGAUCUGCAUCUGAGGAGUCCCCGGGAAGAAGCCAGCAGCUGGUUCACCGGAGCCAGCCUCCCAGCCCCUGUCAUCAGCAGCAAGAACUGGCUACGGCUGCACUUCACCUCAGAUGGCAACCACCGGCAGCGUGGCUUCAGUGCUCAGUACCAAGUCAAGAAACAAAUUGAGCUGAAGUCUCGAGGCGUGAAGCUGAUGCCCAGCAAAGACAACAGCCAGAAGACAUCUGUGUGUAAGUGUCUGCCUGCCCGCCCGCCCACUGGGCCUCAUGCUCUCGUCAGACCCGCCGGCACUGUGACUGUGGGGAAGCCAGAUGAUGCUGGAUGACUUCCCUUCCCCCACUUCCCUCCAUCCUGGGCUCUGCGCAUGGACACACUGACCCAGUGGCCAGCGAGCAGCCCUGGGCCUGUCCUUUGCUGUCUCCUCCUCCCAUUGUCCUUUUCCCUCUUCCUUCCUCACUUCCCAUUCAAACUGCAGUCCAGGGAGUCAUUACUGCUACAUUUCUCUCUUUAUUUUUCCUUUUGAAUCACUUCCACCUGCUAAGAUAGUCC